GUCCACGCCGUAAACUAUGAGAGCUAGUCGUCGGGCGGCAUGCCGUUCGGUGACGCAGCUAACGCAUUAAGCUCUCCGCCUGGGGAGUACGGCCGCAAGGUUAAACUCAAAGGAAUUGACGGGGCCCGCACAAGCGGUGGAGCAUGUGGUUUAAUUCGAAGCAACGCGCAGAACCUUACCAUCCCUUGACAUCCCUGUCGCGGCCCGAGAGAUCGGGCUUUCAGUUCGGCUGGACAGGAGACAGGUGCUGCAUGGCUGUCGU
Molecule: ribosomal RNA, 262 nt
Filed under: uncultured bacterium
Lineage: Bacteria
Description: partial 16S ribosomal RNA
Rfam family: Bacterial small subunit ribosomal RNA
Source: RNAcentral